RNAcentral lists this small RNA (686 nucleotides) under Rattus norvegicus (Norway rat). RNAcentral describes it as "uncharacterized LOC102548046". The record is from RNAcentral. Lineage: Eukaryota; Metazoa; Chordata; Mammalia; Rodentia; Muridae.
CUGACCACAUGACCCUCUCGCCUCAGCCUCCGGAGUAAUCGGGAGUACGUAUGUGCACCACCAGGUCCAGAGAGGGAGAUCACGCGAUGCUGAACAGGGGCUAAGCUGGUUGUGGGCGGUACCUCACAGAACUCCUUGGACUGUCGGUGGAACUCUGGAGAAUCGUGCUGAGCCACAAACACCAACACAGGGUCCUGGACACACACGCCCUGCGGCAGAUAAUCCCAUGCACACAGGACACUGUGCUGAGGGAAAGAACAGGCUGUGCUCACUACGGACUUUAAUCUCUAAGCUGGCUUCCUCCCUUGGAAAACAGGACAAUUAUGUUCCCUGUCUUUGCAAGUUGUGAGAGUUGAAGGUGAAAAGCACAGCACAGUGGAAUAAAUACAACGGCCAAAUAAGACGAAAAAUUAAAGAGAUGAGUGCGCUGUGGGGCGGGAGGGUUCCCAUGACAGGCAUCUCAGGACGGUCCUCAGAACAGUGGUGUCCUCCGAGACCCCAAACACCCUUCUUCUCAACACAGGGACACCAAGUCUAUCCAUUUAGUGUGUAUGCAGCAUGCGUGAGUAGACACAAACUUCCUGUUUUCUGUAUCCCAGCCUGGCCUCAAACUCCCUAUGUAGCCGAGGAUAACCCUGAUCCCGACCUCCCCAGCUCCCGAGGGCUGGAAUCGGAGGUACGUGCCA